RNAcentral lists this ribosomal RNA (722 nucleotides) under uncultured bacterium. Its description in RNAcentral is "bacterial SSU rRNA". It matches the Rfam family "Bacterial small subunit ribosomal RNA", at positions 74 to 789 of the family's 1533-position model. The record is from RNAcentral.
AGUAGCUUGCUACUUUGCCGGCGAGCGGCGGACGGGUGAGUAAUGUCUGGGAAACUGCCUGAUGGAGGGGGAUAACUACUGGAAACGGUAGCUAAUACCGCAUGAUGUCGCAAGACCAAAGUGGGGGACCUUCGGGCCUCACGCCAUCGGAUGUGCCCAGAUGGGAUUAGCUAGUAGGUGAGGUAAUGGCUCACCUAGGCGACGAUCCCUAGCUGGUCUGAGAGGAUGACCAGCCACACUGGAACUGAGACACGGUCCAGACUCCUACGGGAGGCAGCAGUGGGGAAUAUUGCACAAUGGGCGCAAGCCUGAUGCAGCCAUGCCGCGUGUGUGAAGAAGGCCUUAGGGUUGUAAAGCACUUUCAGCGAGGAGGAAGGCGUUGUAGUUAAUAGCUGCAACGAUUGACGUUACUCGCAGAAGAAGCACCGGCUAACUCCGUGCCAGCAGCCGCGGUAAUACGGAGGGUGCAAGCGUUAAUCGGAAUUACUGGGCGUAAAGCGCACGCAGGCGGUUUGUUAAGUCAGAUGUGAAAUCCCCGAGCUUAACUUGGGAACUGCAUUUGAAACUGGCAAGCUAGAGUCUUGUAGAGGGGGGUAGAAUUCCAGGUGUAGCGGUGAAAUGCGUAGAGAUCUGGAGGAAUACCGGUGGCGAAGGCGGCCCCCUGGACAAAGACUGACGCUCAGGUGCGAAAGCGUGGGGAGCAAACAGGAUUAGAUACCCUG